Molecule: ribosomal RNA, 452 nt
Filed under: uncultured bacterium
Lineage: Bacteria
Description: bacterial SSU rRNA
Rfam family: Bacterial small subunit ribosomal RNA
Source: RNAcentral
UACGGAAGGCAGCAGUGGGGAAUAUUGCACAAUGGGCGCAAGCCUGAUGCAGCCAUGCCGCGUGUAUGAAGAAGGCCUUCGGGUUGUAAAGUACUUUCAGUCGUGAGGAAGGUGUUAAGGUUAAUAACCUUAGUAAUUGACGUUAGCGACAGAAGAAGCACCGGCUAACUCCGUGCCAGCAGCCGCGGUAAUACGGAGGGUGCGAGCGUUAAUCGGAAUUACUGGGCGUAAAGGGCACGCAGGCGGUUAAUUAAGUUGGAUGUGAAAUCCCCGGGCUUAACCUGGGAAUGGCAUUCAAGACUGGUUAGCUAGAGUCUUGUAGAGGGGGUAGAAUUCCAUGUGUAGCGGUGAAAUGCGUAGAGAUGUGGAGGAAUACCGGUGCGAAGGCGGCCCCUGGACAAAGACUGACGCUCAUGUGCGAAAGCGUGGGGAGCAAACGAGGAUUAGAUACC